Molecule: ribosomal RNA, 495 nt
Filed under: uncultured bacterium
Lineage: Bacteria
Description: partial 16S ribosomal RNA
Rfam family: Bacterial small subunit ribosomal RNA
Source: RNAcentral
GACGAACGCUGGCGGCGUGCCUAAUACAUGCAAGUAGAACGCUGAAGGAGGAGCUUGCUUCUCUGGAUGAGUUGCGAACGGGUGAGUAACGCGUAGGUAACCUGCCUGGUAGUGGGGGAUAACUAUUGGAAACGAUAGCUAAUACCGCAUAAUAGCAGUUGUUGCAUGAUAACUGUUUGAAAGGUGCAAUUGCACCGCUACCAGAUGGACCUGCGUUGUAUUAGCUAGUUGGUGGGGUAACGGCUCACCAAGGCGACGAUACAUAGCCGACCUGAGAGGGUGAUCGGCCACACUGGGACUGAGACACGGCCCAGACUCCUACGGGAGGCAGCAGUAGGGAAUCUUCGGCAAUGGACGGAAGUCUGACUGAGCAACGCCGCGUGAGUGAAGAAGGUUUUCGGAUCGUAAAGCUCGGUUGUAAGAGAAGAACGAGUGUGAGAGUGGAAAGUUCACACUGUGACGGUAUCUUACCAGAAAGGGACGGCUAACUACGUG